GACGAACGCUGGCGGCGUGCCUAACACAUGCAAGUCGAACGGAGAAUUUUAUUUCGGUAGAAUUCUUAGUGGCGAACGGGUGAGUAACGCGUAGGCAACCUACCCUUUAGACGGGGACAACAUUCCGAAAGGAGUGCUAAUACCGGAUGUGAUCAUCGUGCUGCAUGGCAGGAUGAAGAAAGAUGGCCUCUACAAGUAAGCUAUCGCUAAAGGAUGGGCCUGCGUCUGAUUAGCUAGUUGGUAGUGUAACGGACUACCAAGGCGAUGAUCAGUAGCCGGUCUGAGAGGAUGAACGGCCACAUUGGGACUGAGACACGGCCCAAACUCCUACGGGAGGCAGCAGUGGGGAAUCUUCCGCAAUGGACGAAAGUCUGACGGAGCAACGCCGCGUGAGUGAUGAAGGAUUUCGGUCUGUAAAGCUCUGUUGUUUAUGACGAACGUGCAGUGUGUGAACAAUGCAUUGCAAUGACGGUAGUAAACGAGGAA
RNAcentral lists this ribosomal RNA (486 nucleotides) under uncultured bacterium. RNAcentral describes it as "bacterial SSU rRNA". It matches the Rfam family "Bacterial small subunit ribosomal RNA", at positions 28 to 489 of the family's 1533-position model. The record is from RNAcentral.